Molecule: ribosomal RNA, 403 nt
Filed under: uncultured Bacillota bacterium
Lineage: Bacteria; Bacillati; Bacillota
Description: bacterial SSU rRNA
Rfam family: Bacterial small subunit ribosomal RNA
Source: RNAcentral
GGGGAAUAUUGGGCAAUGGGCGCAAGCCUGACCCAGCAACGCCGCGUGAAGGAAGAAGGCUUUCGGGUUGUAAACUUCUUUUAACAGGGACGAAGUAAGUGACGGUACCUGUUGAAUAAGCCACGGCUAACUACGUGCCAGCAGCCGCGGUAAUACGUAGGUGGCAAGCGUUAUCCGGAUUUACUGGGUGUAAAGGGCGUGUAGGCGGGACUGCAAGUCCGUGGUAAAAGACUGAAGCUCAACUUCAGGAGGCCGCGGAAACUGGACGGCUAGAGUGCAGGAGAGGGUAGUGGAAUUCCAUGUGUAGCGGUAAAAUGCGUAGAUAUAUGGAGGAACACCAGUGGCGAAAGCGGCUAUCUGGCCUGUAACUGACGCUCAUGCACGAAAGCGUGGGGAGCAAAUA